UUGACCUCGGAUCAGGUAGGGAUACCCGCUGAACUUAAGCAUAUCUA
RNAcentral lists this ribosomal RNA (47 nucleotides) under Cladosporium cladosporioides. Its description in RNAcentral is "partial 28S ribosomal RNA". The record is from RNAcentral. RNAcentral also lists the same sequence under 5 other names. Lineage: Eukaryota; Fungi; Ascomycota; Dothideomycetes; Cladosporiales; Cladosporiaceae.